GGCGAUGUAGCCAAGUGGUUACGGCGAUUGACUAGAAUUGUCUAUCUCUUCUAACUUAUCAAUUGGGUUUACCCGCGUAGGUUCGAAUCCUGCCAUCGUCG
Molecule: non-coding RNA, 101 nt
Organism: Pseudohyphozyma bogoriensis
Lineage: Eukaryota; Fungi; Basidiomycota; Microbotryomycetes; Chrysozymaceae
Source: the annotation of a GenBank genome assembly